GUAGUCAUAUGCUUGUCUCAAAGAUUAAGCCAUGCAUGUCUAAGUAUAAGCAACUUGUACUGUGAAACUGCGAAUGGCUCAUUAAAUCAGUUAUCGUUUAUUUGAUAGUACCUUACUACAUGGAUACCUGUGGUAAUUCUAGAGCUAAUACAUGCUAAAAACCCCGACUUCAGGAAGGGGUGUAUUUAUUAGAUAAAAAACCAACGCCCUUCGGGGCUCCUUGGUGAAUCAUAAUAACUUAACGAAUCGCAUGGCCUUGCGCCGGCGAUGGUUCAUUCAAAUUUCUGCCCUAUCAACUUUCGAUGGUAGGAUAGUGGCCUACCAUGGUGGCAACGGGUAACGGGGAAUUAGGGUUCGAUUCCGGAGAGGGAGCCUGAGAAACGGCUACCACAUCCAAGGAAGGCAGCAGGCGCGCAAAUUACCCAAUCCCGAUACGGGGAGGUAGUGACAAUAAAUACUGAUACGGGGCUCUUUUGGGUCUCGUAAUUGGAAUGAGAACAAUUUAAAUCCCUUAACGAGG
This 520-nucleotide ribosomal RNA is filed under the name uncultured fungus. Its description in RNAcentral is "SSU rRNA". It matches the Rfam family "Eukaryotic small subunit ribosomal RNA", at positions 20 to 542 of the family's 1831-position model. The record is from RNAcentral. Lineage: Eukaryota; Fungi.